RNAcentral lists this ribosomal RNA (484 nucleotides) under uncultured bacterium. RNAcentral's name for it is "partial 16S ribosomal RNA". It matches the Rfam family "Bacterial small subunit ribosomal RNA", at positions 30 to 507 of the family's 1533-position model. The record is from RNAcentral.
AUUGAACGCUGGCGGCAGGCCUAACACAUGCAAGUCGAGCGGAUGAAGGGAGCUUGCUCCUGGAUUCAGCGGCGGACGGGUGUGUAAUGCCUAGGAAUCUGCCUGGUAGUGGGGGAUAACGUCCGGUAACGGGCGCUAAUACCGCAUACGUCCUGAGGGAGAAAGUGGGGGAUCUUCGGACCUCACGCUAUCAGAUGAGCCUAGGUCGGAUUAGCUAGUUGGUUGGGUAAAGGCCUACCAAGGCGACGAUCCGUAACUGGUCUGAGAGGAUGAUCAGUCACACUGGAACUGAGACACGGACCAGAGUCAGACGGGAGGCAGCAGUGGGGAAUAUUGGACAAUGGGCGAAAGCAUGAUCCAGCAAUGCCGCGUGUGUGAAGAAGGUCUUCGGAUUGUAAAGAACUUUAAGUUGGGAGGAAGGGCAGUAAGUUAAUACCUUGCUGUUUUGACGUUACCAACAGAAUAAGCACCGGCUAACUUCGUG